Molecule: ribosomal RNA, 468 nt
Filed under: uncultured bacterium
Lineage: Bacteria
Description: partial 16S ribosomal RNA
Rfam family: Bacterial small subunit ribosomal RNA
Source: RNAcentral
GACGAACGCUGGCGGCGUGCUUAACACAUGCAAGUCGAACGGAAAGGCCCUGCUUUUGUGGGGUGCUCGAGUGGCGAACGGGUGAGUAACACGUGAGUAACCUGCCCUUGACUUUGGGAUAACUUCAGGAAACUGGGGCUAAUACCGGGUAGGAGCUCCUGCUGCAUGGUGGGGGUUGGAAAGUUUCGGCGGUUGGGGAUGGACUCGCGGCUUAUCAGCUUGUUGGUGGGGUAGUGGCUUACCAAGGCUUUGACGGGUAGCCGGCCUGAGAGGGUGACCGGCCACAUUGGGACUGCGAUACGGCCCAGACUCCUACGGGAGGCAGCAGUGGGGAAUAUUGCACAAUGGGCGGAAGCCUGAUGCAGCAACGCCGCGUGCGGGAUGACGGCCUUCGGGUUGUAAACCGCUUUCGCCUGUGACGAAGCGUGAGUGACGGUAAUGGGUAAAGAAGCACCGGCUAACUACGUG